ACCUCCCGUAGCGGGAGGCAGCAGGUAGGGGAAUUAUUGCCAACGGAAAUCGGGGGAAGCCCAUGACUGCAGCCCAUGCCCGCGUGUGUGAAGAAGGCCUUCGGGUUGUAAAGCACUUUCAGUUGUGAGGAAAGGGAUGUAGUUAAUACCUGCAUUCUGUGACGUUAGCAACAGAAGAAGCACCGGCUAACUCCGUGCCAGCAGCCGCGGUAAUACGGAGGGUGCGAGCGUUAAUCGGAAUUACUGGGCGUAAAGCGUGCGUAGGCGGUUUAUAUAAGCUAGAUGUGAAAGCCCGGGGCUUAACCUCGGAACUGCAUUUAGAACUGUAUGACUAGAGUUUUGUAGGAGGGUGGUGGAAUUUCCAGUGUAGCGGUGAAAUGCGUAGAGAUU
This 390-nucleotide ribosomal RNA is filed under the name uncultured bacterium. Its description in RNAcentral is "bacterial SSU rRNA". It matches the Rfam family "Bacterial small subunit ribosomal RNA", at positions 334 to 698 of the family's 1533-position model. The record is from RNAcentral.